RNAcentral lists this ribosomal RNA (487 nucleotides) under uncultured bacterium. RNAcentral describes it as "bacterial SSU rRNA". It matches the Rfam family "Bacterial small subunit ribosomal RNA", at positions 28 to 507 of the family's 1533-position model. The record is from RNAcentral.
GAUGAACGCUAGCUACAGGCUUAACACAUGCAAGUCGAGGGGCAGCACAGUGUAGCAAUACACGGGUGGCGACCGGCGCACGGGUGCGUAACACGUAUCCAAUCUGCCCGUUACUCGGGGAUAGCCUUCUGAAAGGAAGAUUAAUACCCGAUGGCAUGUAUUUCCGGCAUCGGAGAUACAUUAAAGAUUUAUCGGUAACGGAUGAGGAUGCGUACGAUUAGCUGGUUGGCGGGGUAACGGCCCACCAAGGCUACGAUCGUUAGGGGUUCUGAGAGGAAGGUCCCCCCACACUGGAACUGAGACACGGUCCAGACUCCUACGGGAGGCAGCAGUGAGGAAUAUUGGUCAAUGGUCGAGAGACUGAACCAGCCAAGUAGCGUGAAGGAUGACUGCCCUACGGGUUGUAAACUUCUUUUGUUUGGGAAUAAAUGAUACUACGUGUAGUAUUUUGCAUGUACCUUACGAAUAAGCAUCGGCUAAUUCCGUG